AUUCUGGAGCAGCAGCAGUUGACAGACGGAGAGGCAGUGACUCUGCACCCAGCAAUCCCUCUGCAGACAGCUCCCACAGGAGUCAUGCCCAGUGUGUGAAGGCUCUGGGCAUCAUCAGCGGCCCCAGGGAAAAAGAAAGAAAUGGGAAACAGCAUGAAAUCCACCCCUGCGCCUGCCGAGAGGCCCCUGCCCAACCCGGAGGGACUGGAUAGCGACUUCCUUGCCGUGCUAAGUGACUACCCGUCUCCUGACAUUAGCCCCCCGAUAUUCCGCCGAGGGGAGAAACUGCGUGUGAUUUCUGAUGAAGGGGGCUGGUGGAAAGCUAUUUCUCUUAGCACUGGUCGUGAGAGUUACAUCCCUGGAAUAUGUGUGGCCAGAGUUUACCAUGGUCGUGCCAGUGAGGCCUCUGCAGCCUCCUGGGUGGCUUUGGAGCACUGCACACCUGGGCACAAAUCUUGGCUUCCUUCCUUCCAUGUGAGGGUCCUGUAAAAGUCGCUUCACCUCCUGGAGUUACAUUAUCCUCAUCUGUCAAGUUACGGAAGCUGGAAGUUGGCAAAGAAAUGCACAGCAUAUUGGAAAUGGAAAAGAAAGAAGGAGGCAUCCAUUGAUAAACACUAAGUUACUUCUUCAUGUCCAGAGGACUCUACAUGCCACAUGCUCAUCUUGCAAAACAGAGAUAACCACCCGAAUCCUUUGAAGACUGGAAUUCUGCGAGUUUAAUUUUAGUAUUCAUGAUCUUAAUUGUGAAUACCAGAUGCCAUUUCCAUGCUUAGGAUGAUGAAGGUAAACAAAACUGAAGCAGGAGCUGCCAUGGGAGUCACGUUCUGAAAGAGGUGGGAGUCACGUUCUGAAAGAGAUGGGAGUCACGUGACUCUUCUACAUCAGCUGCUUGCCCUGGAGCCAUUCAUUCAUUAGCAAGCAUGCAUCAAUGCCUUCAUGCUGAAGAUGUGAGGCUGCAGCUGGCAUGAGCUGGGGGUAGUAAGGAACCAGGAGGAGUGACAUAAUUAUGACCCUAUG
This 1017-nucleotide small RNA is filed under the name Pan troglodytes (chimpanzee). Its description in RNAcentral is "processed transcript". The record is from RNAcentral. Lineage: Eukaryota; Metazoa; Chordata; Mammalia; Primates; Hominidae.